GGACUUGACGGUACCCCAAAUCCCCCUAGAGGAGCUUGUCCUAUAAUCGAUAACCCACGUUUUACCUCACCAUUUCUAGCCCAUCCGCCUGUAUACCUCCGUCGUCAGCUUACCACGUGAGCGUUAAUCAGUGAGCUUAAUGCUAUUUCACCAAUACGUCAGGUCAAGGUGCAGCAAAUGAAGUGGAAAGAGAUGAGCUACACUUUCUAAUUUAGAAGAGACGAAAAACUACCUAUGAAAUCUAGUUGGAAGGCGGAUUUAGCAGUAAAAUGAAAUCAGCAUGUUCAUCUUAACUCGGCACUGGGGUGUGU
This 311-nucleotide ribosomal RNA is filed under the name Mertensophryne anotis (Chirinda forest toad). RNAcentral's name for it is "Stephopaedes anotis partial 12S ribosomal RNA". Lineage: Eukaryota; Metazoa; Chordata; Amphibia; Anura; Bufonidae. The record is from RNAcentral.